Molecule: ribosomal RNA, 245 nt
Filed under: uncultured bacterium
Lineage: Bacteria
Description: partial 16S ribosomal RNA
Rfam family: Bacterial small subunit ribosomal RNA
Source: RNAcentral
UACAGAGGUGGCGAGCGUUGUUCGGAUUGAUUGGGUGUAAAGGGUGCGUAGGCGGUUUGGAAAGUUGGAUGUGAAAUCCUAUGGCUCAACCAUAGAAUUGCAUUCAAAACUCCCGAACUAGAGUGCGAGAGAGGUGAAGGGAAUUCCCGGUGUAAGGGUGAAAUCUGUAGAGAUCGGGAGGAACACCUGCAGCGAAGGCGCUUCACUGGCUCGCAACUGACGCUGAGUGCACGAAAGCGUGGGGA